Molecule: long non-coding RNA, 285 nt
Organism: Oryzias melastigma (Indian medaka)
Lineage: Eukaryota; Metazoa; Chordata; Actinopteri; Beloniformes; Adrianichthyidae
Exons: 2
Source: RefSeq, a predicted model, not a curated record
CAGGGAGCUCCCCGGGGGGGAAGUUCAGGUGCAAAUUCGUCGAAAUGCGACUUGAUUGUAUGGAGACGAGGUUUCCCCCGACACCUGGAGAGAGGAGAAGAGGUUUUCCAAACAAGCUUCUGAGAGAACGACAAGGAGCUGCAGCUGCAGGAGAGCAUCUGACCUCCGUCUACUUCCUCUGUUCUUCAGACUCAACAGGAGGAUUCCUCUCGCUAUCUUGGACCAGUAAAUUGACCAGUAAAUCUUUCAACCACAGUCUGUUGAAUAAAGUGCUCCUUAAAACAG